UACAGAGGGUGCAAGCGUUAAUCGGAUUUACUGGGCGUAAAGCGCGCGUAGGCGGAUCAUCAAGUCGGGUGUGAAAGCCCUCGGCUCAACCGAGGAAGUGCGCCCGAAACUGCAGAGCUUGAGUACCGGAGAGGAUGGCGGAAUUCCCCAAGUAGAGGUGAAAUUCGUAGAUAUGGGGAGGAACACCGGUGGCGAAGGCGGCCAUCUGGACGGAUACUGACGCUGAGACGCGAAAGCGUGGGUAGCAAACAGG
RNAcentral lists this ribosomal RNA (253 nucleotides) under uncultured bacterium. RNAcentral's name for it is "partial 16S ribosomal RNA". It matches the Rfam family "Bacterial small subunit ribosomal RNA", at positions 524 to 776 of the family's 1533-position model. The record is from RNAcentral.